CCCUUAGAUGUUCUGGGCCGCACGCGCGCUAAACUGAUGCAUUCAACGAGUUUCUUCCUGGUCCGAGAGGAAUGGGUAACCUUUUGAAAGUGCAUCGUGAUAGGGAUAGACUAUUGCAAUUAUUGGUCUUCAACGAGGAAUUCCUAGUAGACGUAGUUCAUCAGACUGCAUCGAUUACGUCCCUGCCCUUUGUACACACCGCCCGUCGCUCCUACCGAUUGAAUGCUCAGGUGAGCCAUUCGGACCUUCAUCAUGCCGGUUUCCGGUUUUGAUGAGGGAAAGUCUUGCGAACCUUAUCAUUUAGAGGAAGGAGAAGUCGUAACA
This 324-nucleotide ribosomal RNA is filed under the name uncultured eukaryote. RNAcentral describes it as "partial 18S ribosomal RNA". It matches the Rfam family "Eukaryotic small subunit ribosomal RNA", at positions 1470 to 1796 of the family's 1831-position model. The record is from RNAcentral.